RNAcentral lists this long non-coding RNA (1283 nucleotides) under Coturnix japonica (Japanese quail). Its description in RNAcentral is "lncRNA (ENSCJPG00005014338.1)". Lineage: Eukaryota; Metazoa; Chordata; Aves; Galliformes; Phasianidae. The record is from RNAcentral.
UUACUUGUUUGGAAGCUGACAUCUACCCUGGGACAGCUUCCUUCUGGAAACUGUGGUCCAUUAGCAUCAGUUACCAUUAGGUCCAAGCUGUGAACAAGCAUCCCUGAGUGCCUUGUCCUUCACUGAUUAUUAAAAGAAAAGCCCGGGCCCAUUAAAGUCAAUGAAAGUUUUCCCUGUAUUCUUUUUCUCAAAGAUGCUCCAACAUCACCCAUAGGGAUAAGCUCUGUGCAUGCAUCCCUGGUCCACAUUUGACCUGCAGAAAACAGACUGUGCAACUUUAGUCACUUUUAAUUUGUUCCUGUGUGAUCUUAUCUAAACAAUGCUAACACUAGUCAGACUGAACUAUUUGUUAGAAAGCCUUUAUCUGUCAUAGAAAAAAAUGCUAAAAGAAAUUUUAUUUUGAUAGGUGAAACACAUUUUCAUCUAGAACUACAGAUAUUUAAGAACAUUUCUAGGUUUCAACACAAAAUGCAUUAGAGUCUUUGAAUGAAAAGCUUUAUAAAAAUGUAAAUGCACUCCACAAUAAUUACAGUGACAAUAGAUUUUGUUUUCAGCAGCCUUACAAGCACACGGGCUUACAGCACUGCGUUUGGAGCAGGGCUGGUUACACAGCCACGUUGGUUUGAACAGCAGUUUAAAGACAAACAGGAAAGGAAGGUCUUUGACCGGAGAGGCUGACAAUUUAAAUAAGGCUGACAAUCUAACACACAGAGGCAAAAGUGCUGUUCAGUGGGUAGAAAGGGCAACAACACACACGAAGCAAUGGGAAGCGAUCUUGCGAGAGCAUUAUUUUGAAGGAAUCCAGUGCCUGGGUGACUUUCUGUUGAUGGGAGGACAUCUGACUACAUCACUGGGACAUUCAACAGGAUGUGAUCUGAAAACAGAAACCAGGAGUUCUUCAAAGGCAGGUUUCAGAAGUGAAGGAAUAGAAAUCAAAGUAAGAAAUGUUCUCAAUAUUCUUGGAACAAGCAAUUCUUCAUAUUACUACUUUUUAUGGGAAAUGCUUAGCAUUACAUGAGAAACCUAGGAUCACAGCACAGACAUGGAAGAAAUGCCCUUGCCUCCCUGUUGGCUUGGGCAGGCAGCAGCGCCACACCAGCUCCACAUGUGCCUCCACAUGGCUCCUCUCACUGACCCUGUACAUUAAAGGAGCUACAGGGCCCUCUAAAAAUGUUGGCAGAUGGUCUCCGACACCGAAGCACGGCCUAAAGCCUGCACCUUUCCUCCAGACUGAAAAUGGCAGCCUUAGAAGAAAAAGUGCCAUAUUUUCAAGACUGGAAUAA